RNAcentral lists this ribosomal RNA (303 nucleotides) under Triticum aestivum (bread wheat). RNAcentral describes it as "partial small subunit ribosomal RNA". The record is from RNAcentral. Lineage: Eukaryota; Viridiplantae; Streptophyta; Magnoliopsida; Poales; Poaceae.
AUGAGUUGCAUCAGCUGGAACUGCCAGGGGCUGGGGAACCCCAACGUAGUUCGCGAGCUUCGUAAUGUGGUGAAGCAAGAAGGGCCCGCCCUCCUCUUUGUUAUGGAGACGAAGAUCAGGGCUGACAGGGUAGAGAAUGUGAAGAUUACAUUGGGUUUUUUUGGUUGUUUUGCAGUUAAUAGCGUCGGUCUCAGUGGAGGCAUCGGAUUAUUUUGGUCCAAGGAUGUUUCCAUUGAGCUCAAAAACUAUAGUUCUGGUCACAUUGAUGUGUUGGUGCGUGAUACGUCUCCAACGUAUCUAUAA